RNAcentral lists this long non-coding RNA (1157 nucleotides) under Homo sapiens (human). RNAcentral's name for it is "HSALNT0386891". Lineage: Eukaryota; Metazoa; Chordata; Mammalia; Primates; Hominidae. The record is from RNAcentral.
CAUGAACCUGUGUUUCUGGAACUGCACAAAGCAACAAAUGGCAGAGGGCCCAUGAGUCCAACACAGGCUGCUGGUUAAAUGUUUAGGAUUGUCAAAAUGCAAAAAGCCAGUUCCGCAGAGGUUUAGGCCCAGGGAGGUCAGUGGAAAUUAUAAAUCUGUGAUGGCCAGAGAAUGCCUGAAAUUUUCAAGUAUGAUUCAUUGUAUGACAAUGAAAUUCAGAAGCCAACCACGGUAGAGGCAGGGGCUGGUAGAGAUUUGGAUCUACACUGGUACGGUGGAGAAAGAACCAUGGAUGGAGUCUCACUCUGUCACCCAGGCUGGAGCACAGUGACGCAAUUUCAGCUCAUUGAAACUUCCACCUCCCAGGUUCAAGCAAUUCUCCCGUCUCAGCCUUUCGAGUAGCUGGGACUACAGAUGCACACCACCCGCCUGGCUAAUUUUUGUAUUUUUAGUAGAGACGGGGUUUCACCAUAUUGGUCAGGCUGGUCUCGAACUCCUGACCUCAGGUGAUCCAUCUGCUUUGGCCUCCCAAAGAGCUGCGAUUACAGGCAUGAGCCACCGUGCUGGGCCUACUAUUGUUAUUUAUGUUGUGCUUUUUCUUCUUCUUCCUCCUCCUCCUCCUCUUCCUCUUUCCCCCUGUUCUGAAGCUUGUCCAUAAAUUCUACUCUUGCCAGUUAAAGUUAAAAUAAUGAAACAUCAGGGCUCCUCCAAGACCACAGCCCCUGGGGCUUUCUCAAUUGGUUUCUGAGUCUGACAGCACUGUGGUCGUGUCAUCCUUUUGAGCUGCCCAACUCCAUCUGCCCCUGGGCACCUGACCCGGAGUCAGCCAGCAUCCUCUGGGCUGAAGUUCAGACUCCGUCUACCCCCAAAAGAAAAACAGCACCCAUCCUUCUGUGUGAGAGCAGGCCACGGGGAAGGGACACUCUGCUUUUUGAUGAUGAUUUCUGACACACUGACUCUGUAAAAGGCCCAUCAGCUCAUGUGUCUCCGUUCUUCGGCCACUUGCCUGCCCUGGUAGUUAUAAACGUGAGGCUCCUCCCUUUAGAGUGCAAUAACUAUAACCUCCCCGUAAUGAGCAAAACCAACAGCAUUGACACUGCCUGGAAAUGAAUGCUACCACUUAGAUUCUAAUAAAAGAGAAGUUGGAACAAGCUGUA